AAAACGGCAACCAUGGAGCUAUGAAACUUUUAUGUACUCUGUUUAAAUGAUUAUAAUAAAAAUAAUUGUGUGCAUGGUAGCGAUACAAAGGUUCAACCAAGAAAAUAUACCCAAAAAUCCAAAAAACACUGCGACAUUAAAACCUAAUGCAACCUUCGCAAAAAAAAAAAACAAAAAAACCUAUAGUGUAACGACGAGGAACCAGAACCUUCUAACGAACGACGUACGAUGGAGGGUGGACACGACGAGUGCGGACUGC
This 259-nucleotide long non-coding RNA is filed under the name Hordeum vulgare. Its description in RNAcentral is "long non-coding RNA (HVUL_LNC013523)". The record is from RNAcentral. Lineage: Eukaryota; Viridiplantae; Streptophyta; Magnoliopsida; Poales; Poaceae.